AUAUAAGGUCUGACCUGCCCACUGAUUUAUUUUGAAGGGCCGCAGUAAUUUGACUGUGCAAAGGUAGCAUAAUCAUUAGUUUUUUAAUUAAAAGCUUGUAUGAAGGGUUGGACGAGGUAAAAUCUGUCUCUAUUUAAUUUAUUUUAGAAUUUAAUUUUUAAGUUAAAAAGCUUAAAUUUAUUUAAAAGACGAGAAGACCCUAUAGAUCUUUAUAAAAAUUUUAUUAAUUUUAUUUAAGAAUAUUUUAUUUAUUAUUAGAUUUUUUAUUUUAUUGGGGUAAUAAAAAGAUUUAAAAAAUUCUUUUUUUAUUUAUACAUUAAUUUAUGAUUAUUUGAUCCAAUAUUUUUGAUUAAAAGAUUAAGUUACCUUAGGGAUAACAGCGUAAUUUUUUUAGAGAGUUCAUAUCGAUAAAAAAGUUUGCGACCUCGAUGUUGGAUUAAAAAUUAUCUUAGGUGCAGAAGUUUAAGAUUUUGGUCUGUUCGACCAUUAAAUUUUU
RNAcentral lists this ribosomal RNA (496 nucleotides) under Melanodytes pustulatus. RNAcentral's name for it is "partial 16S ribosomal RNA". It matches the Rfam family "Bacterial large subunit ribosomal RNA", at positions 1843 to 2597 of the family's 2925-position model. Lineage: Eukaryota; Metazoa; Arthropoda; Insecta; Coleoptera; Dytiscidae. The record is from RNAcentral.